Molecule: long non-coding RNA, 332 nt
Filed under: Gouania willdenowi (blunt-snouted clingfish)
Lineage: Eukaryota; Metazoa; Chordata; Actinopteri; Blenniiformes; Gobiesocidae
Description: lncRNA (ENSGWIG00000020357.1)
Source: RNAcentral
AUGGAAAUGGAACAAAACAAAGAGCCAGACAUUGAUUCCUCUCCAGCUACGGAAGUGAAAAGUUUGCAGCCGAAAAGUAAGCCUAAGAGAUACAGUGAGAUCUUCAGAGACUUUGAUAACCUUGAUUUAUCUUUAAUCUCUGCAGAAGAGGAUCUACUGGCAGAAUGUGACAGCCGGUCAAUCCCACAAUCAAUCUCUGUAGAAAGUACAGACGUCACAGAACAUCAUGAUGCGUCUGUGAGUGACCCACACCUUUUUAUGAAUGAGGAAAAUGUUUCUAAGGACAACCUAGAUGCUUUACACCUCUAUUGUGAAACAUUAUCUAUAUUGUU